GUUUAUAUGCAAUAUAUCUCGAACAACAAAAGGUAAUGAAUCACUUUUCAGGCUGUUUGCAUGCAAUUAAUAAAGCGUUAGUAAUACAGAGGAUGGUAGCCCCUGUGUUAACGCUGCCUGCCGGCUAAAUUCCUCUAAAUGUCUGCUCAAUUUUCCCUGAUAUCUUUGCCAGUGCUCAGAAUACAAAAUGUGUUUUGUGACAGUGGCUCUGUGUUCUCGUUAAUCCGGCAUGUUGUUCCCUCUGGUAGUGGGUGAAUGGAGCUCAGGACUGUGUUAGAGGCCCCAAAACACACAGUUUGCUUCAGCUUGAUCCAAACCCGCUCACAUCUUCUCAUUGCGGGGUUGUGUGCAGUGAAACAAAGCACAAGAAACAGAAGAAAGUUUGCAGAAACUAAAGGUGUGAAUAAUGCCAUGAGGGAAAUGAGAAAAUAGCUUUUGGCACCUUCAGACCAAGCUAUCUGGGUCCUAACAUUUCUGUAGCAUGUUGCGUGGUAGCUGCCUGCUCUCCCUGCCCUGUGAGAGAGGCCCCUGGGCUGUGGAACAGCUCGUAUUGAUGAGAUGUGGUCGAUGGCUGAGCAUUUUAGCAUUCAGUGCAGGUGUGACUGCACCUAUAUCCUCCCUGUAGAGCUCCUCAUUCACCUGUUACUGAUGUUAAUUCAUCAUUCUUUGCAGGUAAGGAAAGAAAAAAAAAAAACAUGGGGUUCAGGGGAGAAAAUCUACAGCAGAAGCCAGCGAGAAGCGCUCAAAGUGGAAUUUAAACACGAGCUUUAUCAUGCAAGCGACAGACCUCUCCUUCAAGGGUUUCAAUUUAAUACAUUUCUUGUUGAUGAGUGGCACUAAUAAUCGAGGUCAUCGGUCACCUUGAAUCCCAAAGUCUUUGGUGAGAAUGUGGUGGGGGAAGGCCUUCAGCACGUCCUUGAUCUGUGUGAGGUAAUUAAAACUUCAGUCACCUCCACAGUUCCCACUGGUAAAUUCCUAAAUUGCUGUCUUGAUUUUUAUUUUAAAAUGGUUCUGACCUUAAAGAAAAAUAUCACUGUGAAGAAUUUGUAAAGAAAUAAAAUUAAGUGCUUGUAAAACCA
This 1079-nucleotide long non-coding RNA is filed under the name Anas platyrhynchos platyrhynchos (common mallard). RNAcentral's name for it is "lncRNA (ENSAPLG00000018044.1)". Lineage: Eukaryota; Metazoa; Chordata; Aves; Anseriformes; Anatidae. The record is from RNAcentral.